Molecule: small nucleolar RNA, 132 nt
Filed under: Meriones unguiculatus (Mongolian gerbil)
Lineage: Eukaryota; Metazoa; Chordata; Mammalia; Rodentia; Muridae
Description: Small nucleolar RNA SNORA17 (ENSMUGG00000002439.1)
Rfam family: Small nucleolar RNA SNORA17
About the family: snoRNA ACA 17 belongs to the H/ACA family of snoRNAs and is predicted to guide pseudouridylation of the 28S rRNA at positions U4659 and U4598. It shares the same host gene together with ACA43.
Source: RNAcentral
UCUGCCCCAGAGGCAUUACAGGUGUGGCUGCUAUGUCAAUGUGCAUCAGCAGAUGGCAGAGAGGAGAGAGGCUUAUGUCUUACACUCAGUGCUCUGACCUAGGAACAUCUGAAUGAUUAGGAGCCUAAAUUU